RNAcentral lists this ribosomal RNA (253 nucleotides) under uncultured bacterium. RNAcentral's name for it is "partial 16S ribosomal RNA". It matches the Rfam family "Bacterial small subunit ribosomal RNA", at positions 524 to 776 of the family's 1533-position model. The record is from RNAcentral.
GACGAACCGUGCAAACGUUGUUCGGAAUCACUGGGCUUAAAGGGCGCGUAGGCGGGCCAGCCAGUCUGUGGUGAAAUCCUCCAGCUUAACUGGAGAAGUGCCGUGGAUACUGCUGGCCUCGAGGAGGGUAGGGGCAUCUGGAACGGUCGGUGGAGCGGUGAAAUGCGUUGAUAUCGACCGGAACUCCGGUGGCGAAGGCGAGGUGCUGGGCCCUUUCUGACGCUGAUGCGCGAAAGCCAGGGGAGCAAACGGG